Molecule: long non-coding RNA, 1968 nt
Organism: Pleuronectes platessa (European plaice)
Lineage: Eukaryota; Metazoa; Chordata; Actinopteri; Pleuronectiformes; Pleuronectidae
Exons: 3
Source: RefSeq, a predicted model, not a curated record
UGGACGCACUGCGGCUGGUCCCAGGUGGACACGUCUGGCAGCUUCAUCACGUGACCUGCAGCCGCGAUGUGGCGCAGCACGUCGGCUCUGGAGAGGAACUUCCCCUCGCAGCCGUAGCAGCGGCUCUGGUGGAUCUGCCUCCGGAUGAAGUUCACCAGUUUGACCUGCUGGUAGAACCUGAGGUCUGAGAGGAGCAGACAGCGAGAGGUGUCACCGUGUUGCUCUCUGACGCUCUUCAUGCUGCUCGUGGCUGAGAUCAUGACGUCAGACUCUGUUCCUCUGAUCGCUCAGCGUCAGCCGGGGGUCACUGCGACGCCACCCACAGGUAACCAAUGGAUUCCAGGGCGUGGAGGGUUUGCACUAAGCCACGCCCCCCGAACCAGAGCUCCUGUGUCCGCAGCUGGUGGGAGGCGGCAUGGCUGGCGAGGAGGAUGUGCUGAGAGCAGGGGGGCGGAAGAAGAGUCGGAGCGGGAGGGAGCUCAAUGCUGGAGGCGGAGCUUAACCAGAUCCUGGAGGAGGUCAGGUACAUCGCCGGGCGUUUCCGGGGGCGGGACGAGGAGGAGACGGUCUGCAGCGAGUGGAGGUUUGCUGCUGCGGUGAUCAACUGCUUUUGUCUGGUGGCGUUCUCAGUCUUCACCAUCAUCUGCACCAUCGCAAUCCUCAUGUCGGCCCCCAACUUCGUGGAGGCCAUUUCCAAAGACUCCUCCAGCUGAGUUUCUUUACUUCAGUCCACAAACCAACGUGUCAGACGCCCGAGGUCAGUGUUGAGGUCAGUGUCUGAGGUCAGUGUUGAGGUCAGUGUUGAGGUCAGUGUUGAGGUCAGUGUCUGAGGUCAGUGUUGAGGUCAGUGGCUCCUGUGGAAGAUGUUUGGUUUUAUCAAAUUCGUGAUGUUUAAAAUCACAAAAACAAUCAUUGGACCUCGUAAGUGGAAUUUCAACCUAGUCAAUUUAGUAAAUAUCCUUUUCUAUUAGCAGCCAUUGAUAUGAAUCAUUUUAAACUUUACAAUAAUUGUUCCUCUGUGGAUUCCUUGAUAAACUCAACAUUUUUCCAUGUUAGCUCAGAGAAAACUGUGUGUUUACAUCUUGUGUCGGUUCUAACUCUAAUCAACUGACACUCAGACAGAACGUCCUGCAGCUGCUCCACAGAAGAAUAAAGAUAAUGAUGGUGAUGAUGAUGUCCUCCUGGUUUGAAAAGGGCCAAACAGCUGCUCGGAAUCGAACCACCGGAAGCUUUAAAGCUACAAAUGAAUCUCUAUUUUUUGUAUACGUUUUUUUAAAUCCAUCAUCCAAUAAAAAUUGUUGUGACAGUGACCAGAUGUGUGUUUUUCUAUUUGUUCUGAACGUUGUCAGUUGGAAACAAUGUCAAUUUUAGAUUAUUUUUAAAUUUGAGAUCAUUUUGGAAGAAAAAUCUGGACUUUAACUCAACUUUCAUGUUGUAGUAGUGCCCUAAAAAAAUAAAUUGAUAAUAUGUACUAAAGUAAAAGUACCAUAUUAACUUUGCAACUUCAAAGUAACUAAAUACUUGCUUGUAAAUAUCCAUAUGACAGGAUGACGCUGCCCCUGGUGGUCAGCAGCAGCAGCACAGACAACAUUCACCUCAGAUGAGAAAGAACGAGUCGAAUGUUUCAGAAUAAAACAGAUUUAAUCUUUAUUUGACAUAAUGUCCGUCAGAGUCGAGGAGCUUCUGUAAAACCUGGAUCUGUAAAGACACAUAAAACAUUUCUGUUUCUCUGAGCUCAUUUAUUGUGUCACUGAUAUUAACUGAGUAAUUUUUGAUAUGUUAUAAAUGUCAGCCUUAACCAGAGCCUGAACCAGAGGCGGAACCAGAGCCUGAACCAUGCAGGUAGAGAUGCUCCUCUUGUUCCUUGGAGGCUACGUGAAGCAACGAUAGAGAAAAUCUGAGCUGAAAAACUGCUUCUCCUCCUAAUAAGUUGUUGUUUGUGAUAUUUUCAGGCGGAGGAGGAGGCAG